GACGAACGCUGGCGGCGUGCUUAACACAUGCAAGUCGAACGGUAAGGCCCUUCGGGGUACACGAGUGGCGAACGGGUGAGUAACACGUGGGUGAUCUGCCCUGCACUUCGGGAUAAGCCUGGGAAACUGGGUCUAAUACCGGAUAGGACCACUGCCUGCAUGGGUGGUGGUGGAAAGCUUUUGCGGUGUGGGAUGGGCCCGCGGCCUAUCAGCUUGUUGGUGGGGUGAUGGCCUACCAAGGCGACGACGGGUAGCCGGCCUGAGAGGGCGACCGGCCGCAAUGGGACUGAGAUACGGCCCAGACGCCUACGGGAGGCAGCGGUGGGGAAUAUUGCACAAUGGGCGCAAGCCUGAUGCAGCGACGCCGCGUGAGGGAUGACGGCCUUCGGGUUGUAAACCUCUUUCAGCACCGACGAAGCGCAAGUGACGGUAGGUGCAGAAGAAGGACCGGCCAACUACGUGCCAGCCGCCGCGGUAA
This 478-nucleotide ribosomal RNA is filed under the name uncultured bacterium. RNAcentral describes it as "partial 16S ribosomal RNA". It matches the Rfam family "Bacterial small subunit ribosomal RNA", at positions 28 to 523 of the family's 1533-position model. The record is from RNAcentral.